ACGACGGCGUACUUUUUGUAGAACGGUCCGGCGAGUUGCAGUGACAUGCGAGGUUAAGGAGUACAGCUCCGGAGCCGAAGGGAAACCAAGUCUUAACUGGGCGUCUAGUAUGUUAAUGCAGACCCGAAACCGGGUGACCUAUCCAUGGGCAGGUUGAAGUUACCGUAAAAGGUAAUGGAGGACCGAACUCACAUCUGUUGAAAAAGGUGGAGAUGACCUGUGGAUAGCGGAGAAAUUCCAAUCGAACUCGGAGAUAGCUGGUUCUCCUCGAAAUAGCUUUAGGGCUAGCCUUGAGGUAAAGUCUAAUGGAGGUAAAGCACUGAUUGGACGCGGGUCCCCAAAAGGAUACCAACUUCUAUCAAACUCAGAAUGCCAUAUAGAUAUACUCAGGAGUCAGACUAUGUGAGAUAAGUUUCAUAGUCAAAAGGGAAAGAGCCCAGACCGACAGCUAAGGUCCCAAAGUGUGUGUUAAGUGGAAAAGGAUGUUAGGUUUCUAAGACAACUAGGAUGUUGGCUCAGAAGCAGCCACUCAUUUAAAGAGUGCGUAACAGCUCACUAGUCGAGAGGUCUAGCGCCGAAAAUGUCCGGGGCUAAAACACACCACCGAAGCUACGGAAUUACCUAUGGUAAUUGGUAGAGGAGCAUUCUGUAAGGAUGAAGCACAAUUGAAAGAGAGUGUGGACGAAACAGAAGAGAGAAUGCCGGAAUGAGUAGCGAGAUAUAUGUGAGAAUCAUAUAGGUCGAAUGUCUAAGGUUUCCUGGGUAAAGCUGAUCUGCUCAGGGUAAGUCGGGACCUAAGGUGAGGGCGAGAGCCGUAAUCGAUGGACAACAGGUAGAAAUUCCUGUACUACGUAUAAUCAGAACUGUGGGGACGCAGGAGGAUAGGAAAACCGGAGAAUGGAAAUAUCCGGCUAAGUACAAAGGUGUGAGUGAUAGGCAAAUCCGUCACUAUUAGCUGAAGUACGAAUGGGAGCGAAGAAAAGUAGCGAAGUUUCUGAAUCCACACUGUCAAGAAAAGCCGCUAUUGCGUUAUACGUACCCGUACCGCAAACCGACACAGGUAGACGAGGAGAAAAUCCACAGACCGACGGGAGAAGUGUUGUUAAGGAACUCGGCAAAAUGACCCCGUAACUUAGGGAUAAGGGGAGCCAACGCAAGUUGGUCACAGAAAAGAGGCUCAAGCGACUGUUUAGCAAAAACAUAGGUCUAUGCGAAACCGUAAGGUGAUGUAUAUGGGCUGACACCUGCCCGGUGCUGGAAGGUCAAAAGGAGAGGUUAGCGUAAGCGAAGCUUUGAAUUCAAGCCCCAGUAAACGGCGGCCGUAACUAUAACGGUCCUAAGGUAGCGAAAUUCCUUGUCAGGUAAGUUCUGACCCGC
Molecule: ribosomal RNA, 1377 nt
Filed under: human gut metagenome
Description: bacterial LSU rRNA
Rfam family: Bacterial large subunit ribosomal RNA
Source: RNAcentral